GCCGGGGUAGCCUAGCCUGGUAAGGCGCGAGCCUGGAGAGCUCGUGGGGCAUUACGCCCCUCCUGGGUUCAAAUCCCAGCCCCGGCG
This 87-nucleotide transfer RNA is filed under the name Methanothermus sociabilis. Its description in RNAcentral is "tRNA-Ser". It matches the Rfam family "tRNA". From Rfam's summary of the family: Transfer RNA (tRNA) molecules are approximately 80 nucleotides in length. RNAcentral also lists the same sequence under 1 other name. The record is from RNAcentral. Lineage: Archaea; Methanobacteriati; Methanobacteriota; Methanobacteria; Methanobacteriales; Methanothermaceae.